UACGAAGGGGGCUAGCGUUGUUCGGAAUUACUGGGCGUAAAGGGCGCGUAGGCGGCCUGCUAAGUCGAACGUGAAAUCCCCGAGCUCAACUCGGGAACUGCGUCCGAUACUGGCAGGCUUGAAUCCGGGAGAGGGAUGCGGAAUUCCAGGUGUAGCGGUGAAAUGCGUAGAUAUCUGGAGGAACACCGGUGGCGAAGGCGGCAUCCUGGACCGGCAUUGACGCUGAGGCGCGAAAGCCAGGGGAGCAAACGGG
This 253-nucleotide ribosomal RNA is filed under the name uncultured bacterium. RNAcentral's name for it is "partial 16S ribosomal RNA". It matches the Rfam family "Bacterial small subunit ribosomal RNA", at positions 524 to 776 of the family's 1533-position model. The record is from RNAcentral.